GGAAUACAGUAAGUUGAUCACCAAUUUUCUAGACAAAGAGACUAUGAUCUAAUUGAGAUUGCAAAUAGCCAAGAGAAACAAGAGCUUGUGAAAGCUUAGAAUACCAUUGCCUGCUAGCUUGCUUAUGCCCAUGUAAUGAUUUUUGCAAAUGACACACUUGGUUGGACUUGGAAGAAGUGAAACCUGGAGGCAAUUCCAUAUAUACCUUCUCAUGUAAUUCACCAUGAAGGAAGGCAUUAUUGACAUCUAGCUGCUGUAAGUGCCAAUUGUUUGCAGCUGCAAGUGCCAGCAGUAGCUUGAUAGCAGUAAUUUUUGCCACUGGUGAGAAAGUGUCAAGGUAGUCAACUCCUUCGGUCUAUGUGUAUCCUUAGCUACCAAACGGGCCUUGUAUCUUUCAAUUGUCCUAUCAGCCUUUCUUAAAAUUCUAAAGACCCGUUUGCAUCCUAUUGCACUCUUGCCAGGAGGAAGAUCACAACCCAAGUAUGAUUUUGUUAAAGGGCAAGUAUCUCGGCAUGCAUAGCCUGUUUCCAGCACUCAAAUUGGAUUGCUUGAUUAUAAGUUUUAGGCUCAGUUGUGAUAGAAAUAGAGAGAGUAAAGUGUAUAUGUGAUGUAGACAAAUUAGAAUAAGAAAUAACAGAAGACAAAAGAUAAAGUGAACCUGAGGAAUGAUGAUUGAUGUUAGCAUGAAUAAGGUUGCAAUGAUAAUCCUGUAAGUAGGUUGGUGGUUUUUUUUGAUACGUUGAGAAUGUCUAAUAGGAGGAGAAGGAGCAGGUGUGUAAGAAGAGCAUGGAGAAGUAGGCAAAACAACAGGAAGUGAUGAAGAAGGAAAAAUAUCAGUAUGAGGUUCAGAAUAAUCUUGAGGAACAAAAGGAAUAAAAUGAGCAGAAGGAGAAGCAAGAGGAAAAAUACUUUCAUGAAAUGUAACAUGUCUAGAAACAAAUAUAUUUCGAGAAUGAAGGUCUAGUAAAACGAAUCCUUUAGUGCCUUGCUUGAAACCAAGAAAAACACAUUUCUUAGCUUUAGGGUCAAAUUUUGACCUAUGAGCAGUAUGUGUCGAUGCAAAGCAAAGUGAUCCAAAAACUUUAAGAUUAUUA
Molecule: unclassified non-coding RNA, 1094 nt
Filed under: Hevea brasiliensis (rubber tree)
Lineage: Eukaryota; Viridiplantae; Streptophyta; Magnoliopsida; Malpighiales; Euphorbiaceae
Source: RNAcentral